Molecule: ribosomal RNA, 294 nt
Filed under: uncultured Lactobacillus sp.
Lineage: Bacteria; Bacillati; Bacillota; Bacilli; Lactobacillales; Lactobacillaceae
Description: partial 16S ribosomal RNA
Rfam family: Bacterial small subunit ribosomal RNA
Source: RNAcentral
AUUAGCUAGUUGUAGGGUAAGGCCGUACCAAGGCGAUGAUGCAUAGCCGAGUUGAGAGACUGAUCGGCCACAUUGGGACUGAGACACGGCCCAAACUCCUACGGGAGGGCAGCAGUGGGGAAGUCUUCCACAAUGGACGCAAGUCUGAUGGAGCAACGCCGCGUGAGUGAAGAAGGGUUUCGGCUCGUAAAGCUCUGUUGUUGGUGAAGAAGGACAGGGGUAGUAACUGACCUUUGUUUGACGGUAAUCAAUUAGAAAGUCACGGCUAACUACGUGCCAGCAGCCGCGGUAAAU